CAAUAGCGUAUAUUAAAGUUGUUGUGGUUAAAAAGCUCGUAGUUGGAUUUCUGCUGAGAACGACCGGUCCGCCCUUUGGGUGUGUAUCUGGCUCUUUCUUGGCAUCUUCUUGGUGAACGUUGCUGCACUUGACUGUGUGGAGCGCUACCCAGGACUUUUACUUUGAGGAAAUUAGAGUGUUUCAAGCAGGCAUACGCCUUGAAUACAUUAGCAUGGAAUAAUAAGAUAGGACCUCGGUUCUAUUUUGUUGGUUUCUAGAGCUGAGGUAAUGAUUAAUAGGGAUAGUUGGGGGCAUUCGUAUUUAACUGUCAGAGGUGAAAUUCUUGGAUUUGUUAAAGACGGACUACUGCGAAANCANNNGCCAAGGAUGUUUUCAUNGA
RNAcentral lists this ribosomal RNA (380 nucleotides) under uncultured eukaryote. RNAcentral describes it as "partial 18S ribosomal RNA". It matches the Rfam family "Eukaryotic small subunit ribosomal RNA", at positions 592 to 976 of the family's 1831-position model. The record is from RNAcentral.